GAUGAACGCUGGCGGCGUGCCUAAUACAUGCAAGUAGAACGCUGAAGGAGGAGCUUGCUCUUCUGGAUGAGUUGCGAACGGGUGAGUAACGCGUAGGUGACCUGCCUGGUAGCGGGGGAUAACUAUUGGAAACGAUAGCUAAUACCGCAUGACAACAGUUAUUGCAUGAUAACUGUUUAAAAGGGGCAACUGCUCCACUACCAGAUGGACCUGCGUUGUAUUAGCUAGUUGGUGAGGUAACGGCUCACCAAGGCGACGAUACAUAGCCGACCUGAGAGGGUGAUCGGCCACACUGGGACUGAGACACGGCCCAGACUCCUACGGGAGGCAGCAGUAGGGAAUCUUCGGCAAUGGACGGAAGUCUGACCGAGCAACGCCGCGUGAGUGAAGAAGGUUUUCGGAUCGUAAAGCUCUGUUGUAAGAGAAGAACGAGUGUGAGAGUGGAAAGUUCACACUGUGACGGUAUCUUACCAGAAAGGGACGGCUAACUACGUG
RNAcentral lists this ribosomal RNA (495 nucleotides) under uncultured bacterium. Its description in RNAcentral is "partial 16S ribosomal RNA". It matches the Rfam family "Bacterial small subunit ribosomal RNA", at positions 28 to 507 of the family's 1533-position model. The record is from RNAcentral.